Triticum urartu is the source of this 135-nucleotide non-coding RNA. The record is from Rfam. NCBI's taxonomy places the organism in Eukaryota, Viridiplantae, Streptophyta, Magnoliopsida, Poales, Poaceae.
UAACUACUCCCUCCGUCCCAAAAUUCUUGUCUUAGAUUUGUCUAGAUACGGAUGUAUCUAAUACUAAAACGUGACUUGAUACAUCCGUAUUUAGACAAAUCUAAGACAAGAAUUUUGGGACAGAGGGAGUAUUUC